RNAcentral lists this ribosomal RNA (253 nucleotides) under uncultured bacterium. RNAcentral describes it as "partial 16S ribosomal RNA". It matches the Rfam family "Bacterial small subunit ribosomal RNA", at positions 524 to 776 of the family's 1533-position model. The record is from RNAcentral.
UACAGAGGUCUCAAGCGUUGUCCGGAAUUAUUGGGCGUAAAGAGCUCGUAGGCGGUCUGUCGCGUCUGGUGUGAAAACUCAGGGCUUAACCCUGAGCUUGCAUCGGGUACGGGCAGACUAGAGUGUGCUAGGGGAGACUGGAAUUCCUGGUGUAGCGGUGAAAUGCGCAGAUAUCAGGAGGAACACCGGUGGCGAAGGCGGGUCUCUGGGGCAUAACUGACGCUGAGGAGCGAAAGCAUGGGGAGCGAACAGG